This 480-nucleotide long non-coding RNA is filed under the name Phoenix dactylifera (date palm). RNAcentral describes it as "long non-coding RNA (PDAC_LNC012360)". Lineage: Eukaryota; Viridiplantae; Streptophyta; Magnoliopsida; Arecales; Arecaceae. The record is from RNAcentral.
AACCUAGGGUUUAAAGGCUUGUUGCACGUGCUAAGUGCAAUCGUGACUCCCUAUGAAAAUGGGUACAUAUCUUAGUUUGUGUAUUUAGCUUCAAUAAAAAAAAGAAAAAAAAAUCAUAAGUUUGACUACAUCUUUUUAUGCCCUCAUUUUAACGUUUGCUUGUUAAUUGCUAGAGACUAGCAAUAAGCUAGUUGGGGGGUGUGAUGAGAGCACAAAAGUGCGACCUACAUAUCACCUAAAUUAGUAUUAUUGCUAACUGAUAAUGAUAAAUUCACUGGAUUAAUAUUAUAUUUGGGUUUGACACAGAUUUUCAUAAAUUAGAGAUAAAAUGCACAUUGAGUACAAAUUUGACUAAAGAGUGAUCCCGUCCCAGAUCCGACCCAGUUGAAGAUCGGGUCGGAUCCGAGUCGGGUUCGGGUCCGAGUCGGGUCCAAUUUUUUUAGGCUUAUUGAGAAAGAAUUUUGGGCAAAUUUAAUUUGG